RNAcentral lists this transfer RNA (83 nucleotides) under chicken gut metagenome. It matches the Rfam family "tRNA". From Rfam's summary of the family: Transfer RNA (tRNA) molecules are approximately 80 nucleotides in length. Their secondary structure includes four short double-helical elements and three loops (D, anti-codon, and T loops). The record is from RNAcentral.
GAGAGGUGUCCGAGUGGUCGAAGGUGCUUGACUCGAAAUCAAGUGUGCGGCAACGCACCGUGGGUUCGAAUCCCACCCUCUCC